AUGCUGAAUUUGCUGGUAAGCUUUUGUUUUGGUGCAUUUCUGGACGUGGCGAUCUUGAUGUCGAAAUGCGUGAACGCUUUGCGUGAUUUGCCUCUAGAUGUUUAUUAUAGAUGUUGCUGUCUCCCGGGCGUGAGUUCACUUCUAGUUUUCAGAUGGUGCCUGCUGGAGUUUAUUCUUCUAGCAGCUGCUGAAUGCCGAGGUAAACUGAAUACCAUAUCUGGUGAGAUGGAAGCAUGGGUAGCGCGCACGUUGCUGAUGCGGGAAAUUGUUGUCUUUUUUGGGAGGGUAAACUGGGAUAUGCUGAAUUUUUGUUGGUAA
Molecule: ribosomal RNA, 318 nt
Filed under: Triticum aestivum (bread wheat)
Lineage: Eukaryota; Viridiplantae; Streptophyta; Magnoliopsida; Poales; Poaceae
Description: partial small subunit ribosomal RNA
Source: RNAcentral